AUUGAACGCUGGCGGCAUGCCUUACACAUGCAAGUCGAACGGCAGCACGGGUGCUUGCACCUGGUGGCGAGUGGCGAACGGGUGAGUAAUACAUCGGAACAUGUCCUGUAGUGGGGGAUAGCCCGGCGAAAGCCGUAUUAAUACCGCAUACGAUCCACGGAUGAAAGCGGGGGACCUUCGGGCCUCGCGCUAUAGGGUUGGCCGAUGGCUGAUUAGCUAGUUGGUGGGGUAAAGGCCUACCAAGGCGACGAUCAGUAGCUGGUCUGAGAGGACGACCAGCCACACUGGGACUGAGACACGGCCCAGACUCCUACGGGAGGCAGCAGUGGGGAAUUUUGGACAAUGGGCGAAAGCCUGAUCCAGCAAUGCCGCGUGUGUGAAGAAGGCCUUCGGGUUGUAAAGCACUUUUGUCCGGAAAGAAAUCCUUGACUCUAAUACAGUCGGGGGAUGACGGUACCGGAAGAAUAAGCACCGGCUAACUACGUG
This 486-nucleotide ribosomal RNA is filed under the name uncultured bacterium. Its description in RNAcentral is "partial 16S ribosomal RNA". It matches the Rfam family "Bacterial small subunit ribosomal RNA", at positions 30 to 507 of the family's 1533-position model. The record is from RNAcentral.